AACCCAGGACACGCCCAGCCCCAUUAAUUGCUUUUUCUUCGUUUUGCUAAUUUUCGAGGGUUAUAAUCAAUUCCGUGUUUCCUUGUAAAUAAAUUCACGAACCUAGACCUCUUAUCAAACCAAAUGCCGUAUACCGAGUUCUGAAAGUUUAAAAGCUUCCAAACGAGAAAUCAAGAGUUUAUAACCAGAAAGUUAUAUGAAUGCUAUAUAAACUACAUACAACCUCAAGCUACCCCGACAGCUUCCCACACUUUCUUCUCUCAAAACAACCUGCACAAAUCGCCGGAGAAGAUAGUCGCGGAGACGUCAGAGUUUACGACGGGAAUUACCCGUAGCCAUUCGGUACACUUCGCCUGGUUUUUUUUUCUCACUCUCUAGAUUUACGCCGGAGAAACGAAGCUCGCCGGGACAAAGGAAUUCGUCGGAAUCCCUGUAACGUCGUCGGAAGAUCAGAGAAGACGACCGGAAUGCACGACGGACUCUAGCUCGAAUCGUCACGUGGAUAAACCGUACGUUCGUUCUUCUGGAAUUAUCCACCUUUACUCGUGCGUUAUUUCGAGGGAUUCUUAUACGCAACCAAUGUGGAUGUUGACGAUACAUGGAAUCUAGUAGGAUGCUUAGAUACACACUU
Helianthus annuus (common sunflower) is the source of this 631-nucleotide long non-coding RNA. RefSeq lists it as uncharacterized. Lineage: Eukaryota; Viridiplantae; Streptophyta; Magnoliopsida; Asterales; Asteraceae. The record is from RefSeq and is a predicted model, not a curated record. The transcript has 3 exons.